CCUACGGGAGGCUGCAGUGGGGAAUAUUGCACAAUGGGGGAAACCCUGAUGCAGCGACGCCGCGUGAGUGAAGAAGUAAUUCGUUAUGUAAAGCUCUAUCAGCAGGGAAGAAAAUGACGGUACCUGAGUAAGAAGCCCCGGCUAACUACGUGCCAGCAGCCGCGGUAAUACGUAGGGGGCAAGCGUUCUCCGGAUUUACUGGGUGUAAAGGGAGCGUAGACGGCAAUGCAAGUCUGGAGUGAAAGGCGGGGGACCAACCCCCGGACUGCUCUGGAAACUGUACGGCUGGAGUGCAGUAGAGGUAAGGGGAAUUCCUAGUGUAGCAGUGAAAUGCGUAGAUAUUAGGAGGAACACCAGUGGCGAAGGCGACUUACUGGACUGUAACUGACGUUGAGGCUCGAAAGCGUGGGGAGCAAACAGGAUUAGAUACCCCUGUAGUC
Molecule: ribosomal RNA, 440 nt
Filed under: uncultured bacterium
Lineage: Bacteria
Description: partial 16S ribosomal RNA
Rfam family: Bacterial small subunit ribosomal RNA
Source: RNAcentral